AGGGCAACAGGUGAAUGCCUUGGCGCUGAGAGGCGAUGAAAGACGCGGUAAGCUGCGAUAAGCAUCGGGGAGGAGCUAAACAUCCUACGAUCCGAUGAUUUCUGAAUGGGGAAACCCGAUGGGAGUCAUGUCCCAUCAUCCUGAGCUGAAUACAUAGGCCCAGAGAAGCCAACCCGGGGAAGUGAAACAUCUCAGUACCCGGAGGAAGAGAAAUCAAACGAGACUCCCAAAGUAGCGGCGAGCGAAAUGGGAAGAGCCCAAACCGAGUGGUUUCGACCAUUCGGGGUUGUAGGGCCGGCAUACGCGAUUCUGGAGUAGGCAGAGGAAGCGAGCUGGAAAGCUCCGCCACAGCGGGUGAUAGCCCCGUACUCGAAACCGAAAAGGACGCAGCCGGUACCUGAGUACUGCGAGGCACGUGAAACCUCGUGGGAAUCUAGGGGGACCAUCCUCUAAGGCUAAGUACUCCUCAGCGACCGAUAGUGAACUAGUACCGUGAGGGAAAGGUGAAAAGAACCCCUGUUAGGGGAGUGAAAUAGAAUCUGAAACCUGUUGCCUACAAGCUGCGAGAGCUACUUCGGUAGUGAUCGCGUGCCUUUUGUAUAAUGAGUCAGCGAGUUACUCUACCGUGCGAGGUUAAGCGAAAGCGUAGCCGUAGUGAAAGCGAGGCUUAACAGGCCGACUAGUACGUUGGAGUAGACCCGAAACCGGGUGAUCUAUCCAUGAGCAGGUUGAAGCAAGGGUAAAGCCUUGUGGAGGACCGAACCGUCAACGGCUGAAAACGUUCCGGAUGACUUGUGGAUAGGGGUGAAAGGUCAAUCAAACCCGGUGAUAGCUGGUUCUCCCCGAAAUAUAUUGAGGUAUAGCCUCGGGAAUUGAUUAGCGGAGGUAAAGCACUGACAGAGCUAGGGGUCCUACCAGAUUACCAAACUCUAUCAAACUCAGAAUGCCGCUUAAUUGUAUCCCGGGAGUCAGACGGCGGGUGCGAAGGUUCGUCGUCAAAAGGGAAACAGCCCAGACCAACAGCUAAGGUCUCCAAAUCCAUGCUCAGUGGUGAAGGUAGUGGAACCGUUCAGACAGCCAGGACGUUGGCUUAGAAGCAGCCAUCGUUUAAAGAAAGCGUAAUAGCUCACUGGUCUAAUGGCUCUGCGCCGAAAAUGUAACGGGGCUAAGCAUGGUACCGAAGCUUUGGCAAUCUCCUUUGGAGAUUGGGUAGGGGAGCGUUCGCUGCGGGCUGAAGGUGUGCCGGAAGGCAUGCUGGACUGCAGUGAAGUGAUUAUGCUGACAUGAGUAACGAUAAAAUAUGUGAAAAACAUAUUCGCCGAAAACCCGAGGUUUCCUGGGUAAAGGUAAUCUUCCCAGGGUUAGUCGGAUCCUAAGGUGAGGGUGAAAGCCGUAACCGAUGGAAAACAGGUUAAUAUUCCUGUACUUGUUGUGUAGCGCGAUGGAGGGACGCAGGAAGAUAGGCGGGCCGGGUGUUGGAUAUCCCGGUGCAAGCGUGUAGGAAUAUCCGGUAGGCAAAUCCGCCGGACGAAUCUGAGACGCGAGUCCGUGGGCGCAAGCCCUGAAGCCGUUGAGUCUAUGCUGCCUAGAAAAGCUCCUAAGUUUAUCCACAGCAAUCCGUACCGCAAACCAACUCAGGUGGGUGGGAUGAAUAAUCCAAGGCGCUCGAGAGAACUCUGGCCAAGGAACUCGGCAAAAUAACCCCGUAACUUCGGAAGAAGGGGUGCUCUCUAGGGUGACAUGUUUAACAUAUGAAGCCCCGGGGAGCCGCAGUGAAUUGGUGGUGGCGACUGUUUACUAAAAACAUAGGUCUGUGCGAAGUCCUAAAGACGACGUAUACGGACUGACGCCUGCCCGGUGCUGGAAGGUUAAAAGGAGGGGUCAGCGCAAGCAAAGCUCCGAAUUGAAGCCCCAGUAAACGGCGGCCGUAACUAUAACGGUCCUAAGGUAGCGAAAUUCCUUGUCGGGUAAGUUCCGACCUGCACGAAUGGCGUAACGAUCUCCACACUGUCUCGGCCAGAGACUCGGUGAAAUUGCAGUCGCGGUGAAAAUUCCGUGUACCCGCAGAAAGACGGAAAGACCCUGUGCACCUUUACUAUAGCUUGACAUUGGAUUUUGGGCCUGCAUGUGUAGGAUAGGUGGGAGGCUGUGAACCCUGUACGCCAGUAUGGGGGGAGCCAUCCUUGAAAUACCA
RNAcentral lists this ribosomal RNA (2194 nucleotides) under human gut metagenome. RNAcentral's name for it is "bacterial LSU rRNA". It matches the Rfam family "Bacterial large subunit ribosomal RNA", at positions 14 to 2202 of the family's 2925-position model. The record is from RNAcentral.